AACUAACGCUGGCGGCGUGCCUAACACAUGCAAGUCGUACGAGAAAGUCGGCUUCGGCUGAUGAGUAAAGUGGCGCACGGGUGAGUAACGCGUGGAUAAUCUGCCCUUGAGUGUGGAAUAACGUACCGAAAGGUGCGCUAAUACCGCAUAAUGCCUGGCAACACAAGUUGUCCGGCCAAAGAAGGCCUCUGUUUACAAGCUUUUGCUCAAGGAUGAGUCCGCGUACCAUUAGCUAGUUGGUGGGGUAACGGCCCACCAAGGCUACGAUGGUUAGCUGGUCUGAGAGGAUGAUCAGCCACACUGGAACUGAGACACGGUCCAGACUCCUACGGGAGGCAGCAGUGAGGAAUAUUGCGCAAUGGGGGCAACCCUGACGCAGCAACGCCGCGUGAGUGAGGAAGGUUUUCGGACUGUAAAGCUCUGUCGAGCGGGAAGAAAUGUACCAUGGCUAAUAUCCAUGAUAUUUGACGGUACCGCUAGAGG
This 483-nucleotide ribosomal RNA is filed under the name uncultured bacterium. Its description in RNAcentral is "bacterial SSU rRNA". It matches the Rfam family "Bacterial small subunit ribosomal RNA", at positions 29 to 487 of the family's 1533-position model. The record is from RNAcentral.